CGUGUGCACAUCUGUAACACAACCCAUGAAUGAACCUUUAGUCCGCACGAUUGCCCAUACUUUUAAAAAGAGUUAAAUUAAUGAAAACUUUUAUUUAUAUCCAUUUUAAAUCGGGAUAUUAAGUGAAGUUAAUCAUGCUGGUAGUUCUUGACAUAAAGCUUUUGUUUUGAAAAUUUUUUUACGUGCCGUUUGAUUUCAAUUUGAUCGUCUGAUUCAAUCGCUCAUACUGAAAAAAAAAAAAAUCUUACCAGAAACGGCUUUAGGAGGCGAUAAUUUUGCACAGAAAAUUUAUCAGGGUAUGAUGUGACUUAGAAAUUAUUCUGAUGCAAAUUUUGUUGUGCGCUAACAGUUCAAGAAGCACAAGUUUCUGAUGGGGCUCUUCGAGGGCGCUUCGUCUCCUCAGGACAUGUUCUGGUACGGUUCAUCAGAGGGAGCAUACGACCCCAGCAGCGACUCUUCCCC
Hyalella azteca is the source of this 462-nucleotide long non-coding RNA. RefSeq lists it as uncharacterized. The transcript has 2 exons. NCBI's taxonomy places the organism in Eukaryota, Metazoa, Arthropoda, Malacostraca, Amphipoda, Hyalellidae. The record is from RefSeq and is a predicted model, not a curated record.